CGUCACACAAAUUCACAAACACAAAAUUGCAAGAAACAGUUAUAACGACAUAUACUUUUCGUUUUGUAAAUCACUUUUGAGUAAUCAUCUUCAUCAAGUGGUUGACUGUGUGCAAGUUGAACAGAAAAAAAUCACAAUGAAAUUAUUCAAUAUAACAUUAUAUUUUAUAUGCAUUGCAUUUUGUGUACUUUCAUUUGGCCAUAUUAUCACACAAGCUAAAGAUGACUUUGGUGGUGAUAAUACUUUAUUUAACGGUAAACUUGAAAAGGAAGAAGGUAGCGUAGGUAACACCGUAACAAUUUGAAAUGACACACGGCACAAGAUUUAAAUUAAGUAUAUAUAUAUAUAUCUUUAAAUCUAAAUUAAAAUGAAUAUAAUAUCUUUAAAAUAAUAACAUUAAAAUUAUAAAUAGUAAAAAUGUAUCUUUGUUUUUAGUAAAAUAAUAAAACAAUGAAUCAUUUUAAAAGAAAAUACAUUUUUUAGUCCAUAUGCACAGUGCUAACUGUAAAUAAACAUGUGAAAUUUAACUCAAAUAUAUAUGAUUAAAAAUAAAUAUACCUAUUAUUAUCUGUAACAUGGACGUUCU
Molecule: long non-coding RNA, 586 nt
Organism: Adelges cooleyi (spruce gall adelgid)
Lineage: Eukaryota; Metazoa; Arthropoda; Insecta; Hemiptera; Adelgidae
Exons: 4
Source: RefSeq, a predicted model, not a curated record